CAAAUGAUUGUUUAAUUCUCAAAAAUACAAACGAAGUUUGAAAAUCAUGAGAUUUUGCAAGAUGCUUUGAUUUCGUAUGCAGAGGCCGUCGUAAAAAAUUGAUAAGGUUUCGCACAAGUUUUGACAUAUGAUGUUUACAAUUCGAAGCAUCUCCGGAGAGGUUUCAGAGAAGUUCAAAGGAUCCGGUAAGAUUUUGAGAUGAAUCGAUAAAUGUAAUUCUCAUUGAGUCCAAAUUUUUUUUAUAGGCUAUAGAGAACAUAGAUAGGUUCAUGUCAAAUUUUGGGAAAUUUUCAGAUCCGUUUGGUAAUUUUUAUUCAUUAAUUGGACGUAUAUGAAUUUAAUAGAUAUAAAUUAAAUAUGAGCUAUAAAUCCAUGAAAUAAUGGUACAAUAUUACUUAAAAAAUGAAAUACGCAAUGUUUAGUGAAUUGGACUAGGUUUACACAAAGUUUACGUCCUUUUAAUUACUAAAAGUGGUGUUGUACAUGCAAUAUAGGUAGGUGUUUGCCGAGUG
This 512-nucleotide long non-coding RNA is filed under the name Setaria italica (foxtail millet). RNAcentral's name for it is "long non-coding RNA (SITA_LNC003686)". The record is from RNAcentral. Lineage: Eukaryota; Viridiplantae; Streptophyta; Magnoliopsida; Poales; Poaceae.